UUAUAAUGAUUGUCUAAAAAAUAACAAUGUUUAACAAACAAAAAAUGGUCAUCAACUCGAAAGCGUGAGAAACAAUCUAAACCUAAUGUAAAUAGCAGGUAGGUACAUCCACUCGAAUCGCGCUGCCGAUAUGUGAAAAUGUUUAGAUCAAAGUAAGCUCUCGCGCGUAUAGUGAUAUAAGUAGCGACACGAAAGUCUAGCGAUGACCAUUAUUGCGUAGUAGCCGGCCCGUCGCUUCCACCUUAAAGGCCAGCCUCUCAAGUUAAUGGAAACACCAGUCUUCAACGACACUCAAGCCUCAGUAAUUCACGUCAACCUAAGCUCCAUAAGCUUGCAAGGACUUCACAACCUCCAAGACAAGGUCAUAUUGCAAACUCCGAUGAAGCAAAGAUCUAUACCACAACUAUACCUUUUUAUGCAGUAAUGGCUGGUGCGAGUAUUCUAGGCACAAUUAUGAUACUGCGACGAUACACACUAAGAAGGAAACCGAAGGAAGUCCACCAGGAAGCUCAGCAGCAGCCCUCCAGACUGAAGAUAGAAACCCCUACGGACGUUCCGGCGACAUUUUCGUUAAACGUACUACAAUAAUCGCCGCACUGAGGGUGGAGGAGUUGCAUAUACCAUCGGUAUUCUUGUGGAAGGCCAGGCAUCGUCACAGGAACUAAUAUGUCUAGUAUAUUCAUACUACACUACGUGUGGAAAUCUGCUGAGAUAGCGCGGCCUAGAGCACGGCAUCAUCAAGGUCUUUACGUGAUCUCUGUUACCAGCAGCCUAACGUGUGAAUGCUCUAAAUAGCACAGAACAGAGACGGGCAGCAGCGUCACUGGUGCGAAGCAGCCUACAGCACUGCGCUGACCAACCCGCCUGCCCAGCGUGGUCAGUUUGGGCACUAUCAAUGAGCAGCGCCAACACACAAAGGCCCCCAGUUCCCGGCAGCCCUGCUAUUCCCGACUACGGUAGCGGUCGCGGUCACGGCAGGGCAGGGGGUGCUAAGAAUCACCGGGCUACGGAUGGCUACCAUACCAAACGACUUUAUUUGGCAGCAUACAACACCAGGACACUGAGAUCGGAUGAAAGCCUAGCCGAACUUGAGGUAAAGUUGGACAAAAUCAAGUGGAUUGACAGAAGUCCGUAGAGAGGGCGAGGAUACUCUGACACUAGAAUCGGGUCACGUACUCUACUAUCGAGAAGGCGAGCAGACAUCCCAAGGCGGAGUGGGAUUUCUGAUCAACAAAGUCCUCGCCAAUAACAUCGUGGAGAUCAGUAGUGUGUCGACGAGGGUAGCAUAUGUUAUGCUCAAAUUGAACCACAGGUAUUCCCUCAAAAAAGUGAAGGUCUAUGCGCUCACGUUGACACACUCUGAUGAAGAAGUAGAAGACAUAUACGAAGACAUCGUUCAGGCUAUGGAUAAGACUACCAGAUCCUACUUCAAGGUUGUUAUGGGGGACUUCAACGCAAAGGUGGGAGUACAAGAAUGCAACGAAUCGAGGAUCGGACCUUAUGGAGUUGGUGACAGGAACCACAGGGGGCAAAUGCUGGUCAACUUCCUGGAUAGGAGAGGUAUGUUCUUAAUGAACUCAUUUUUCAAGAAAAGUGCCCAGUGGACUUGGCAGAGCCCCGAUAACAUGACCAAAAACGAUAUUGACUUCUUCAUGAGGGAUCGUAGUGAUAUAUUCAGAGAUGUCUCCGUGAUCAACAGAUUUAAUACUGGAAGUGAUCACUGACUCGUAAGAGGCUCUCUGAAUUUAGAUUUUCAGCUCCAGAGACGACGUCUGAUGGGGUCCACUCUUCGCCCGAGACCACGCCAACCCAUAGUUGGGAGGAGCCAUUUGACGAAGUUGAGAACAUCGGAUGGCCAAACUGUUGCUUCAAAACCAGAGGUGUCAGCUGAGAUCGAGCAGUUUUACGGGCAGCUUUACUCUGCCCAUGCUUCGAAACCUGCACCCACCCAAACCACGAACGACUAACGUGCGAGACUUGUGCGCCACUAUACCGAUGACCUCCCGGAUAUCGACGUAGGUGAGAUUAGUAUAGCUCUCGGACAGCUGAAGAAUAACAAAGCCCCAGGUGAUGACGGUAUUACAGCGGAGCGUAGCGGGAAGCGGGUGGAUGAGGAAGGCGGAGGAUCGUGUUUGGUGGCGCGCUCUUGGAAAGGCCUAUGUCCAGCAGUGGACGCUUACAGGCUGAUGGAUUCGAUUGGAACGUGAUAAAGAAGGGACACGGAUAUAAAAACGCAAGAUUUAGUUAAUAAGGUCGUCAAUUUAAUCUUAGUCUACGAUAUUGUAACAUAGAUAAGUUAGUUAAGAAUAAAGUAAUAUUUAAGUCAAAAGUCUUCGUUUCCCUUCAUCCACCCUGGAACGCUGCCGCUUACGUUAUUAGUUUGUAAAUUUGUUUUUUUUUUUGAUUGUUUGUGACUUUAAACAGUGAUUAUGCCUAGAAGAAAUACUGUUACGAGAAGACAGGCACGAAAAAUGAUGUAUGACGUGCAUUGUUUUUUGAAAAGAGAAUCUAAUGAAUUAAUUGAUUCUUUAAAACAAAUCAAACUAAUCAAUCAAAUAAAAAAAACAUUAGUUCAAAUUGAUUGCAAUACUACGACUCAAUCAUUUCGCUUCGGGAAAACAACCAUUAAAAUUUCAGCGUUUAGAUUCUUCAAGUUCC
Maniola jurtina (meadow brown) is the source of this 2658-nucleotide long non-coding RNA. RefSeq lists it as uncharacterized. The record is from RefSeq and is a predicted model, not a curated record. Lineage: Eukaryota; Metazoa; Arthropoda; Insecta; Lepidoptera; Nymphalidae. The transcript has 3 exons.